This is a long non-coding RNA of Meleagris gallopavo (turkey), 525 nucleotides long. NCBI's taxonomy places the organism in Eukaryota, Metazoa, Chordata, Aves, Galliformes, Phasianidae. The record is from Ensembl.
CUACAGGAAGCAGAGUGAAACUGUGACCUAUGUCACAUUCACAAAAUACUAGGAGGCUGCCCAAAGCAUAUAUUUCUUUCCUUCUUCUGCAACUCAGCAACAGAAUGGAAACUCAACUUCUGUAAAGUACUAGAGAUAUGUAUCAGUAAAAGAAAAGCAAAAGACAUUGAGCCAUGGUCCCAUUUUAGAAGAUUCUUGGAUGUUCUGAAGGAUGAAAAUGAUGGUGGAUCAAAAAUGGUUUCUCGAUAGCUCUAAGAUUCUUGAUACUGAAGAAAUGCUAGUGGUCUAGAAAGACCUGGCACCAGGAAAUGCAGAUUGGGAAAGAUGACGCAACGCAGUGGAGAUGGGAAAGCACGUAGCAAAGAGAAUGCAUCAAAAAGGAGAGCAGGACCCUACAUAAAGAGGUGAAAAAUUCAAUUCCAUGCUGGUUUGGUCCCUUUUUGUCCUUACUGUCUUUCAGGCUUUUCUUUUUAUCUCCCGCAUCUCCAGGCAUUUGUGUAUCCUUUUACCCACACACUCUAAACU